RNAcentral lists this ribosomal RNA (253 nucleotides) under uncultured bacterium. RNAcentral describes it as "partial 16S ribosomal RNA". It matches the Rfam family "Bacterial small subunit ribosomal RNA", at positions 524 to 776 of the family's 1533-position model. The record is from RNAcentral.
GACAGAGGGUGCAACCGUUGUUCGGAAUUACUGGGCGUAAAGCGCGUGUAGGCUGCUUCGAAAGUCGGAUGUGAAAGCCCUGGGCUCAACCUAGGAAGUGCAUUCGAAACUUCGAAGCUGGAGUCCUGGAGAGGAAGGCGGAAUUCUCGGUGUAGAGGUGAAAUUCGUAGAUAUCGAGAGGAACACCGGUGGCGAAGGCGGCCUUCUGGACAGUGACUGACGCUGAGACGCGAAAGCGUGGGGAGCAAACAGG